This 1492-nucleotide ribosomal RNA is filed under the name Salmonella enterica. RNAcentral's name for it is "bacterial SSU rRNA". It matches the Rfam family "Bacterial small subunit ribosomal RNA". The record is from RNAcentral. Lineage: Bacteria; Pseudomonadati; Pseudomonadota; Gammaproteobacteria; Enterobacterales; Enterobacteriaceae.
UACAUUUGCCGCAGUCUACCAUGCAGUCGACGGUAACAGGAAGCAGCUUGCUGCUUCGCUGACGAGUGGCGGACGGGUGAGUAAUGUCUGGGAAACUGCCUGAUGGAGGGGGAUAACUACUGGAAACGGUGGCUAAUACCGCAUAACGUCGCAAGACCAAAGAGGGGGACCUUCGGGCCUCUUGCCAUCAGAUGUGCCCAGAUGGGAUUAGCUUGUUGGUGAGGUAACGGCUCACCAAGGCGACGAUCCCUAGCUGGUCUGAGAGGAUGACCAGCCACACUGGAACUGAGACACGGUCCAGACUCCUACGGGAGGCAGCAGUGGGGAAUAUUGCACAAUGGGCGCAAGCCUGAUGCAGCCAUGCCGCGUGUAUGAAGAAGGCCUUCGGGUUGUAAAGUACUUUCAGCGGGGAGGAAGGUGUUGUGGUUAAUAACCGCAGCAAUUGACGUUACCCGCAGAAGAAGCACCGGCUAACUCCGUGCCAGCAGCCGCGGUAAUACGGAGGGUGCAAGCGUUAAUCGGAAUUACUGGGCGUAAAGCGCACGCAGGCGGUCUGUCAAGUCGGAUGUGAAAUCCCCGGGCUCAACCUGGGAACUGCAUUCGAAACUGGCAGGCUUGAGUCUUGUAGAGGGGGGUAGAAUUCCAGGUGUAGCGGUGAAAUGCGUAUAGAUCUGGAGGAAUACCGGUGGCGAAGGCGGCCCCCUGGACAAAGACUGACGCUCAGGUGCGAAAGCGUGGGGAGCAAACAGGAUUAGAUACCCUGGUAGUCCACGCCGUAAACGAUGUCUACUUGGAGGUUGUGCCCUUGAGGCGUGGCUUCCGGAGCUAACGCGUUAAGUACACCGCCUGGGGAGUACGGCCGCAAGGUUAAAACUCAAUUGAAUUGACGGGGGCCCCGCACAAGCGGUGGAGCAUGUGGUUUAUUUCGAUGCAACGCGAAUAACCUUACCUGGUCUUGACAUCCACAGAAGAAUCCAGAGAUUGAUUUUGUGCCUUCGGGAACUGUGAGAACAGUGCUGCAUGCCUAGCCGUCAGCUCGGUUUGAUAAAUGUUGGUUAAGUCCCGCAACGAGCGCUACCUUUAAUCCUUUUGUUGUCAUGCGUAGCCGUAACUUCAAAGCAACUGCCAUGAUAUCUGAAGAGUUGGAUGACUCAGUCACUUUGACCUUAGACCAGGCUUAACCGCAAGUUCAAUGGCAGGCUACACACGUGCUACAAUGGCGCAUACAAAGAGAAGCGACCUCGCGAGAGCAAGCGGACCUCAUAAAGUGCGUCGUAGUCCGGAUUGGAGUCUGCAACUCGACUCCAUGAAGUCGGAAUCGCUAGUAAUCGUGGAUCAGAAUGCCACGGUGAAUACGUUCCCGGGCCUUGUACACACCGCCCGUCACACCAUGGGAGUGGGUUGCAAAAGAAGUAGGUAGCUUAACCUUCGGGAGGGCGCUUACCACUUUGUGAUUCAUGACUGGGGAAGUCGAACAAGUGGCGUUGCGCCA